GUGCUUGCCUCAGCAGCGCAAAUACUAAAAUUGGAAUGAUACAGAGAAGAUUCGCGUGUCCCCUGUGCAAGGAUGACAUGCAGAUUCGUGAAACGUUCUGUUUUUUC
Molecule: small nuclear RNA, 107 nt
Filed under: Gorilla gorilla gorilla (western lowland gorilla)
Lineage: Eukaryota; Metazoa; Chordata; Mammalia; Primates; Hominidae
Source: RNAcentral